Molecule: RNA transcript, 711 nt
Organism: Electrophorus electricus (electric eel)
Lineage: Eukaryota; Metazoa; Chordata; Actinopteri; Gymnotiformes; Gymnotidae
Source: RefSeq, a predicted model, not a curated record
GUCAGAGAGAGGGAGAGAGAGAAAGUCUUUUUUUCCUCUUUUGCAGUUGAGUUGUUGUUUGGCAGCGAAAAGCAGGGACAGCAUGACCAGAGUUUUAAACGUUAGUGCUGUGUUGGCAUAGCAAUGCGUGAGCCCCGUUGGAGCAGCAAAUCCUGUCAGCUAGCACCGCUAGCAGCGUGUGGCUAAACAACCCGCAUCCUGACGUGUGUGGGACUCCAGGGAGAUAUUGGCCAUGGGGCGGCUGGGAGACGACGGGAUAGAAGAGCUCGUGGUGGCGAGGUCGGCGGAAGGUCUCUUCUUUUAGAAGCAUGCUGAGGUUCAUUUAAGGCUGUGAGAAGGUCAUAGGUUCAGAGGUUGCCCGCGGCCCCGGGAAAUGCAGCUCCUACCUCAGCCAGCCCAACAUGUGGGAUUCAGAGCAGUGGCUCAAAAUGACACAGGACUGCACCAGAUGGAGGCACUAGCAUCAUUCAUGCACAGAGCUUUGGCCAGAUUGGCUUAAAGAGAUAUGAUAUGCACAGGUAAGGAGUGUUCAGAAACGAUUGUGCAGCCAUUUGCCCAGGGCUCAGUAAGGUCCUUACUAAGAGCUGAUGUUAGGAGAAGAACACAUCAAAACACAAGAAAGAGGACACAACUGUCCUAAGGACAAAACGUAUUUCAUGGUCAAAUUUUUUAAAGACAUGUGUUUCAUGAUGACAGACAAUACUGAGCCAG